Molecule: ribosomal RNA, 252 nt
Filed under: uncultured bacterium
Lineage: Bacteria
Description: partial 16S ribosomal RNA
Rfam family: Bacterial small subunit ribosomal RNA
Source: RNAcentral
AGCGAACGCUGGCGGCAUGCUUAACACAUGCAAGUCGCACGACCGGGUUUCGGCCUGGGAGUGGCGGACGGGUGAGUAUCGCGUAGGGAUUUGUCGUUGGGUGGGGGACAACCUUGGGAAACUGGGGCUAAUACCGCAUGACGCCUGUGGGCCAAAGCUCGAGAGGGCGCCUGACGAGGAGCCUGCGUCCGAUUAGGUAGUUGGUUGGGUGAUGGCUGACCAAGCCUGCGAUCGGUAGCUGGUCUGAGAGGA